UACGUAGGGUGCGAGCGUUGUCCGGAAUUAUUGGGCGUAAAGAGCUCGUAGGCGGUCUGUCGCGUCGGCUGUGAAAUCCCGAGGCUCAACCUCGGGUCUGCAGUCGAUACGGGCAAACUAGAGUAUUGCAGGGGAGACUGGAAUUCCUGGUGUAGCGGUGAAAUGCGCAGAUAUUGGGAAGAACACCAGUGGCGAAGGCGGUUCUCUGGGACGGUACUGACGCUGAGACGCGAAAGCGUGGGGAGCGAACAGG
RNAcentral lists this ribosomal RNA (253 nucleotides) under uncultured bacterium. RNAcentral's name for it is "partial 16S ribosomal RNA". It matches the Rfam family "Bacterial small subunit ribosomal RNA", at positions 524 to 776 of the family's 1533-position model. The record is from RNAcentral.